Molecule: ribosomal RNA, 497 nt
Filed under: uncultured bacterium
Lineage: Bacteria
Description: partial 16S ribosomal RNA
Rfam family: Bacterial small subunit ribosomal RNA
Source: RNAcentral
GAUGAACGCUGGCGGCGUGCCUAAUACAUGCAAGUCGAGCGAACGGACGAGAAGCUUGCUUCUCUGAUGUUAGCGGCGGACGGGUGAGUAACACGUGGAUAACCUACCUAUAAGACUGGGAUAACUUCGGGAAACCGGAGCUAAUACCGGAUAAUAUUUUGAACCGCAUGGUUCAAAAGUAAAAGACGGUCUUGCUGUCAUUUAUAGAUGGAUCCGCGCUGCAUUAGCUAGUUGGUAAGGUAACGGCUUACCAAGGCAACGAUGCAUAGCCGACCUGAGAGGGUGAUCGGCCACACUGGAACUGAGACACGGUCCAGACUCCUACGGGAGGCAGCAGUAGGGAAUCUUCCGCAAUGGGCGAAAGCCUGACGGAGCAACGCCGCGUGAGUGAUCAAGGUCUUCGGAUCGUAAAACUCUGUUAUUAGGGAAGAACAUAUGUGUAAGUAACUGUGCACAUCUUGACGGUACCUAAUCAGAAAGCCACGGCUAACUACGUG